AUCUAUCUGACGAGUCAAAAAUGGGACGAAACGCGCGUCCUGGAU
Schistosoma rodhaini is the source of this 45-nucleotide non-coding RNA. The record is from Rfam. NCBI's taxonomy places the organism in Eukaryota, Metazoa, Platyhelminthes, Trematoda, Strigeidida, Schistosomatidae.